Mesocricetus auratus (golden hamster) is the source of this 3149-nucleotide long non-coding RNA. RefSeq lists it as uncharacterized. NCBI's taxonomy places the organism in Eukaryota, Metazoa, Chordata, Mammalia, Rodentia, Cricetidae. The transcript has 2 exons. The record is from RefSeq and is a predicted model, not a curated record.
CUCUGCCUCCGUCCAAACCCCACCUCCAGGCAGUAUCCUACUGACAGCUCCUGGUUCUCCUCUUGUCUCCUGCCCAGGCCUUUGCUGAUCUCCUCAAGCGGAAACAUCACAGGUUUAAGAGCCUUCACAGCCAAUUUUCAGUCCUAGCCUUACUUGACUCCCCCGGCCUCCAGAUCAGAAGAACCCCAAAGCAAGGACAGAGAUUGCUUCCUUCACUUCUCCCCUCCUUCCUCGUGACCGACUGAUGACAACGUUUGGAUGCACUACAUUCAGCAACCUAUCCCACUACCCAAAGCUCGGACAGUAUCUGGGCCUUAGCCAGUGCACCCAUCCCCCCCUCCGAAAAUCAGGCUGCUCAGACCCGCGGUACAAAGGUCGGCCGCCCAGGGCACCUCGGCCUGCCUACUCAAAAGCAAAGGGACGCUUUAAAGGCAGAAAACUGGAGCCGCGGACGCUUCUCCAGCCCAGAUUGCAGUUUCCCUGCAGAACCCUCCUUGGGUCUCCAGACCCAGGACUCACCAGCCCGGAUCGCUCAGCUGCAGGAAGGAAGUCACGUUGCACCGCGCUGAGAUGCUGUGCACCCGGCGAAGAGGCGCGGAGCCGGCGCGGCUCCCGGAUUGGGGACGGGGAGCGUGCGCGCGCGUCCGAGGCGGGCCCUGCGCGCUCCCGCGCCGCUGUGCCUGCUGCAACCACUCUCGCGAGAUUCCUACUCAGCUCCUAGGGCCAGUCCACUAGUGCUCGCGAGAAGAAAGACGCAGGCGUUGCCCCCGCCCCACCGCCCGCCCACCUCACCUUGCAGGAGCUGUCCAAGGUGCUAGAUCAUCUGCCACUUCUCGUUCAGGUUGUAGGUGGGCAUCUUGGGGGACAAGAGCAUAGUGAGUGCAUAAAAAGGAGAGACCCAGAGGCGGGAGCCUGAUACCAGCAAUCAAUGCCUCAGCUUCCAAAUCUGUAAAGUGGGGAGAAUCACCCUCCUUCCAAUCUCAGGAGCCUCUGGGAUGUACUUGGAAGGAGUAAGAAACAGCUUGAUGAAGGGCUGAAGAGAUGGUUCAGUGGUUUAAAUGUCCUUGUGCUUUUGUGAAGAAUUAGAGUUCUAUUCCAAGCACCUAUAGGGCGAUUCCAAAACCCCAGUUCCAGGGGAUCCAACAAGAAUGCACGUGGUGCACACACAUGGAUGCAAGUAAAACAUUCAUACACAUAAAAUGUAAUAAAUAUUUUUAAAAGAACCAGAUAGCUUGAUGAAAUAAGAAAUAGAGAUAGGUGGUGUAUACCUUUAAUCCCAGCACUUGAGAGCCAGAGACAGGCCGACCCCUGUGAGUUUGAGGGAAGCAUCAUCAACAUAGUGAGUUCCAGGAUGUUUGGAGCUACAUCGUAAGACCUUGUCUCAAAAGAAAAAGGGGGGGGGCAACAAGUAUAGAAAGUUACCUAAAGAAAUAGAAAGAAAGCAGGUGUGUUGAUUCCCACCUACAAUCCUAGCCUUUGCAAGACACAGGCAAUGCAAUCAAUGAAGUUUAGAGUCAGUUUUACCUACACAGCAAGUUGCAGGCUACCGGGAUACACAGUGAGAUACUGUCUCAAAAUAGAUAAAAUAAUAGGAAUAGAAAGAUAGGGAAUGGCUUUGAAGAAAGACUGAAAAAAAGAAAGAUGAUGGUAAUAUACAGAUGUGAACAGCAAGAAUGAGAAAAGACCAAGGUAAAUGCUUAGGAGAGCAGGACUUGUGUGGCUAGGAGACUACUUGGAGACGGGGAGCUGGGAGUAGGAAGACAGGCGGUUAUUGUGAGUGGUGUUUACAUAGUAAACCCCUGUGGGUCCUCCACAGCCAAGGCCAUUCCCCGUCAACCAAUUGCUUCUGCCCCUCACCCACACCACCCUGGGACUGGAAGAGGCGUCAGUGGGGUGGGUGGAGGGGACACACUGCAAGGAUUCUUUGCCCAGAAUAAGGGCCCAUUGUCUGGCUCUGGGCUGCCAGAGCCGGGGCCUCACUCCCACAGCUGGCAUGAAAGGGGAGGGAGAAAAAGAAGAGCAGACAAGAGCAAGUGCAGAAGAGACAGAUGGCUGAUGGGGACUGAGCAGGAAGAAUAUGAGGUCAACCAGAAGGCAGAGUCCUGGGCUACAACUGGUUUCUCUUUUAGUUCUGUCCUCAGUCCACCCACAUGGCCCCUUAUUCUGUAUAGCCCAAAGAAUGUUCUAUGAUAGCCACGCCCGUGUGUGUGUGUGUGUGUGUGUGUGUGUGUGUGUGUGUGUGUUGUGUCUGCAUUGCAUCAUAUACAUGCAGUAGCUGUAGAAGUCAGAAGAGGAUGUGGGAUCCCCUGGGACUGGAGAUGGUUGUGAUCUGACACUAGGGUGCUAGGAAUUUGACCCUGGACCUCUGGAAGAGCAGCCAGUGCUCUUAACCACAGAGCCAUCUCUCCAGUCCCUGUACUUUCAGUUCCAAAUGAGUGAGUAUAUUAAGCAGGUAGCAAGCAAAAGUAAAAGAAGAAAUGGCAAGCUUCAGAAGAUAGGGAGUAAAACAUCAUGAGAUCAGACGAUGACAAUAUCUAGCAGAGACCUAGGGGAAAAUGGCCAUGCUACAGCUUGCCGCACUGACAGUGUUUCCAUCAAAGAGCUUCUGACUUCCUGGUCACAUUGUAGGCAGAUUUGAACCACUGGACAAACAAUGGUAAGGUACAUGGGGAAGGCUUACCUUCCAGCUGUUCUCGGGAUCACAAUGUUUUAACUCUUGGACUGUUUUACUCUUCUCUCUCCCUGUCACAGAAGCAGGGGCCAGCCUGACCCAGAUGAGAGUCUUUGGAAGACACUUUAUAUAAUAAUGCUUGGGUCAGAAAUGCUGCAGGGGUGUCUACCUGCUUCCAGUUCCUCAAUAAAGUUUAACAGCACAUGACAGUGUAUCAGUAUGCUAUAUAUUACAUUGCUGCUGUUUAUCUCUGUAAUACAGCAAGUUUAUGCAGGUUUUCAAAGCCAUGGGGAAAACCAAUGAACUUGUGAUAAAAGGGAACCUGUAGAGAUGAUAAAACACUGCUCCCUCAGGAGAAAUACCUAGAAUCCACAUGGAAUUUGUAAGCAAUAACUUGUGGCUCAUGUGGGCCCUACAGAAAAAAUGUUGGUGUUCAAAUAUAAUAACUACACUAAUAAAUAUUUAUUAACUAUGCAAA